RNAcentral lists this ribosomal RNA (498 nucleotides) under uncultured bacterium. Its description in RNAcentral is "partial 16S ribosomal RNA". It matches the Rfam family "Bacterial small subunit ribosomal RNA", at positions 29 to 523 of the family's 1533-position model. The record is from RNAcentral.
AUUGAACGCUGGCGGCAUGCUUUACACAUGCAAGUCGAACGGCAACAGGCCGCAAGGUGCUGACGAGUGGCGAACGGGUGAGUAAUGCAUCGGAACGUGCCCAGUCGUGGGGGAUAACGCAGCGAAAGCUGUGCUAAUACCGCAUACGAUCUGUGGAUGAAAGCGGGGGACCGUAAGGCCUCGCGCGAUUGGAGCGGCCGAUGUCAGAUUAGGUAGUUGGUGGGGUAAAGGCUCACCAAGCCGACGAUCUGUAGCUGGUCUGAGAGGACGACCAGCCACACUGGGACUGAGACACGGCCCAGACUCCUACGGGAGGCAGCAGUGGGGAAUUUUGGACAAUGGGCGCAAGCCUGAUCCAGCAAUGCCGCGUGCAGGAAGAAGGCCUUCGGGUUGUAAACUGCUUUUGUACGGAGCGAAAAGGCUCUCUCUAAUACAGGGGGCUCAUGACGGUACCGUAAGAAUAAGCACCGGCUAACUACGUGCCAGCCGCCGCAGUAA